CGGGGCGGCGCGCGCGCGGUCGGGCGCGGUUGGACUGGGCCGGUUCGGCCCAAAAUGGCCGGGCCGGUCCAUUUGCUCCCCUUUUUUUUUCCUUUACCCUUUUCUUUUUUCUGUUUUUCUCAUUUCUUUGAUAUCUUUUGAGUUUGAACUCCAAAUUGGUCCAAAUAAAUUCCAGAAAAUUUGUAAAAUCAUGUUCUACCAAGAUACAACUUUUGGAAGUAGUUUCUCUUCAAAAUAAAAUAUGUAAAAAUACAUUUGCCCUAUAAAUGCUUUAGGGCCAUAUAACUAUUUAAAUAAAAUACUUUUUCAACUCCAAAUAAUUAACCAAAAAUUAUGGGAUAGCGUAUAUAUGCAUUAAACCCUUUUUAUACAUCAACCCUAUUGGUUUGAAAAUCCAAAGGUUACAGGGAUGUAAACAAAAUCUCUUAAAGCCUUUUGUGAUUCAAAAUUUGAAUUCAAAUAUGCAAUUGUGGCAUGAUGCUUAUGAAUGCAAUGCACAUGUAAAAGUUUGAAAUUUUGGGAUGUUACAACAAGUGCUUUCGUGGUACGGUAUACUAAUUCUCCGGGCAUGAAAGUACACAAUGAUGGUGAAGGUGACGAGGUUUAUGGUGAUGGUGACGACGACGAUGAUGAGGAAUAGGCCAAUGUUGAUAGUGACGUUGAUAGUGACGUUGAGAGUGAUCUUGAUGCGGCUCUUCUAGUUGAUCCUGAUGACAAAGAUUACAAUCCACAUGCCCAUACUUAGUUGUUUCAUUUGUUUAGAUCAAGUUGUAAUCCGUCAUACUUAAUUAGUUAGUUCAUUGAAUCCCAACUUUACUGUAUUGU
RNAcentral lists this long non-coding RNA (825 nucleotides) under Brachypodium distachyon (stiff brome). RNAcentral describes it as "long non-coding RNA (BDIS_LNC003027)". Lineage: Eukaryota; Viridiplantae; Streptophyta; Magnoliopsida; Poales; Poaceae. The record is from RNAcentral.